Molecule: ribosomal RNA, 584 nt
Filed under: Bacillus sp. CSeB15_31
Lineage: Bacteria; Bacillati; Bacillota; Bacilli; Caryophanales; Bacillaceae
Description: bacterial SSU rRNA
Rfam family: Bacterial small subunit ribosomal RNA
Source: RNAcentral
GAGCGGACCGACGGGAGCUUGCUCCCUUAGGUCAGCGGCGGACGGGUGAGUAACACGUGGGUAACCUGCCUGUAAGACUGGGAUAACUCCGGGAAACCGGGGCUAAUACCGGAUGCUUGAUUGAACCGCAUGGUUCAAUCAUGAAAGGCGGCUUCGGCUGCCGUUUACAGAUGGACCCGCGGCGCAUUAGCUAGUUGGUGAGGUAACGGCUCACCAAGGCGACGAUGCGUAGCCGACCUGAGAGGGUGAUCGGCCACACUGGGACUGAGACACGGCCCAGACUCCUACGGGAGGCAGCAGUAGGGAAUCUUCCGCAAUGGACGAAAGUCUGACGGAGCAACGCCGCGUGAGUGAUGAAGGUUUUCGGAUCGUAAAGCUCUGUUGUUAGGGAAGAACAAGUACCGUUCGAAUAGGGCGGUACCUUGACGGUACCUAACCAGAAAGCCACGGCUAACUACGUGCCAGCAGCCGCGGUAAUACGUAGGUGGCAAGCGUUGUCCAGACUUAUUGGGCGUAGAGCGCGCGCACGCGGUUUCUUAUGUCUGAUGUGAAAGCCCCGGCUCACCGGGGAGGGUCAUUGGAAC